Eriocheir sinensis (Chinese mitten crab) is the source of this 1309-nucleotide long non-coding RNA. RefSeq lists it as uncharacterized. NCBI's taxonomy places the organism in Eukaryota, Metazoa, Arthropoda, Malacostraca, Decapoda, Varunidae. The record is from RefSeq and is a predicted model, not a curated record. The transcript is spliced from 2 exons.
GCAAAGUUGACAGAUUGUUGUACUCAAGAGCCACAUAUUUACCGGUUUCUGGCCCAUCAUUAUUGCCACUCAAAUGAUAACCAUAUAUGAAGGCAGUUAUUUGGGUGAUGAAAGCAGUUUUGGGGUCGGAAAUUGGCAAACAUAAGGCAGAGUACGACAAUCUUGCAACGUUGUAAAUUGAGGGUGGAAAGAGUUAGCACAGAAGAAGAAAAAGAUGAAGAAGAGGCAGAAGAAAAAGGAAAAGAAAAAAAGAUGAAGAAGAAGAGGCAGAAGAAGAAGAAGAAGAAGAAGAAGAAGAAGAAGAAGAAGAAGAAGAAGGAAAAGAAAAAAUGAAGAUGAAGACAAAGAUGAAGAAGAAAAAGAUGAAGAGAAAGAGUUAGCAGGUUAUAGAGGAGCACAUGACUGAAAGGGUAAGAAGACAGGUGAUUAUGGAGUACCAGAGGAAGAGAGGAAUGGAGAGGUAAAAAAGGAUGACAUUGGAAGGUAAAGGUGGAAUGAAGUGGAAGUUCGUAGGUGGAAAGAGUAAGCAGAUGGAGGAGCGCUUGACUGAAAGGUAAAGCUAAAAUUGGGGGCAUAUGCUGUAGCAGCGCAUGGCCUCGGUGCUCAUCUCCAUAACACUGGCCCUUGAGCCUGUAGUGGGAGGGAGCCCAUUACCCCGGGACACAGGGCCAGAGUGACAUCCGGGUUAGCACAGUUUACUUUCCCCAGGUUUCCCCAGGUACCCAUUUAUUGACCAGCCUGAGAGGAAGGAUGAACAGCUGAGUGAGCUGCACGCCAACUGCCCGGGCCGGGAUUUGAACCCAGGCCCGCGGAGUAGAAGCCAGGCACGCUGACCACUAGACCACGGAGGCGUAUAGAAAAGGGGAAGAAAACAGGUGAGACAGGAAUGGAAGAGGAAGGGGAAGAGAGAAAUGGAGAGAUAAAGAAGGAUGAUAAAAGGGAAUACAUGGAAAAAAGGUGGAUGAGAGGGGAAGUUUGAGUGGAAAAAAAUAACAACACAUGAUAGAAAAAAGGAAUGACUGGAAGAGUAAGAAAACAGGAGAGAAAGGAAUAGAAGAGGAAGAGAAAGAGAAUGGAAUGAUAAAAGAGAAUGAUAGAGGGGAGGAGAUGAUGAAAGGUUUGUGGGUGGAAAGAGGAGAGCAUGACUGAAAGGGUAAGAAAACAGAAGAAAGGAAUGGAGACAAAAUACGGAUGACAACAAAACAGACGCAGAGAGAAAUUAAUUACAGGAGAAGGAAGAGAGUGAUUAGUGAGAGAGAGAGCACGGACGGGAAGGGACGGAUGCAAGGUGGUAGUGUGAGGCGGGGGU